GGAGGUGUGGCAGAGUGGUCGAAUGCACUGGUCUUGAAAACCAGCGUACCGCAAGGUACCGGGGGUUCGAAUCCCUCCGCCUCCG
This 85-nucleotide transfer RNA is filed under the name Bacteroidota bacterium. RNAcentral describes it as "Bacteroidetes bacterium tRNA-Ser". It matches the Rfam family "tRNA". Rfam says of the family: Transfer RNA (tRNA) molecules are approximately 80 nucleotides in length. Their secondary structure includes four short double-helical elements and three loops (D, anti-codon, and T loops). RNAcentral also lists the same sequence under 1 other name. The record is from RNAcentral. Lineage: Bacteria; Pseudomonadati; Bacteroidota.